GAAAAUGCAUUAUUUUGUGGAGUAAUAUAAAAAGCAAAAGAAACACCAAAACAAAGCGUAGGAGAAGGAAGGACAAAUACAUCAAAAAGAGAAGAAAAGAACAAAGUAGGAACAAAAAAGAAGAGACAAAACCACCAAAAAUACAGAAAUGAUAAUCAUAUUUAGAAUCUCUUAAAGUCUACCAUCUUAUGUUUGCUUGCUGGAUAUGACAUUUAGUAGUUAAGAAAUAUAUGUGUGAUAGGGUGGUGGUGGAAAUUCCUUAUACUGUUGGAUGGAGUGGUAUGGUUAUAGAAUGCAAGAGGAUCUAGUAACGAUACUAAUCAGGAAGGCAUGGGCUUGAUUUUGUGAAGUAGUGAGUGUAUUGAUAUCUUAAAGUAGUAGUAGUUGAGUGGGAUAAGGAU
This 401-nucleotide long non-coding RNA is filed under the name Physcomitrium patens. Its description in RNAcentral is "long non-coding RNA (PPAT_LNC013562)". Lineage: Eukaryota; Viridiplantae; Streptophyta; Bryopsida; Funariales; Funariaceae. The record is from RNAcentral.